This is a long non-coding RNA of Tachyglossus aculeatus (Australian echidna), 123 nucleotides long. RefSeq lists it as uncharacterized. NCBI's taxonomy places the organism in Eukaryota, Metazoa, Chordata, Mammalia, Monotremata, Tachyglossidae. The transcript is spliced from 3 exons. The record is from RefSeq and is a predicted model, not a curated record.
CGAGGAGGAGGAGGUUGGGGACUGCAAACUCCUUGUGGACCAGGGAACAUGCAUACCAACUGUAUACUCCCCGAAGCGCUUAGUACAGUGCUCUGCACACGAUGAGGUAACUGAAGAACAGAG